AUGUUUUUGUAAAAUAUUUCUUUAUAAAAUUGACCAUUGUUCCAUUACAUCCACAAUUGGCUACAUAUAGGUUCUCCAAAUAUUCUCUGCCAGUUGGCCUAACAAACUACAUAACUAAUUACUCAAUUAAAACAUUAAGUAAACCCUUUACUGUGAUUAAGAUAAUCACAGGUAUAAUAGAGAGACGAACCUUGAGUUUUCUAGCAAAUUGUGAAGUCUGAAGAGAACCCAGAUCCAACAAUUGUGAAGUUUGAAGAGAACCCAUAAUUCGAAUACUGAAAUCUUGAGUUUUCUAGCAGAUUUUCCAUCAAUGAUUUCAGUAACCCAAAAUCAAUUUAAAAAUGUAAAUAGAUUUAAAUUUGAAAUUGGUCGUAAUAAUUGAAAACAGGAUCAAAGCUUCAAAUUACUUGCCUUAUGUAGAUUGGGGACCCAGCAGCUGUGGCGCCCAUGUUGGUGGUGCGACACAGAGUUUGAGAAGUUGCGAACUAAUCUUUUGGAUUUAGAUGGGAGAGAGUGGAAUGAAGUAGAAGAGUCGA
RNAcentral lists this long non-coding RNA (536 nucleotides) under Malus domestica (apple). RNAcentral's name for it is "long non-coding RNA (MDOM_LNC015178)". The record is from RNAcentral. Lineage: Eukaryota; Viridiplantae; Streptophyta; Magnoliopsida; Rosales; Rosaceae.